GACGAACGCUGGCGGCGUGCCUAAUACAUGCAAGUAGAACGCUGAAGGAGGAGCUUGCUUCUCUGGAUGAGUUGCGAACGGGUGAGUAACGCGUAGGUAACCUGCCUGGUAGCGGGGGAUAACUAUUGGAAACGAUAGCUAAUACCGCAUAAGAGUAGAUGUUGCAUGACAUUUGCUUAAAAGGUGCAAUUGCAUCACUACCAGAUGGACCUGCGUUGUAUUAGCUAGUUGGUGGGGUAACGGCUUACCAAGGCGACGAUACAUAGACGACCUGAGAGGGGGAUCGGCCAGACUGUGACUGGGACACGGCCCGGACUCCUACGGGAGGCAGCAGUAGGGAAUCUUCGGCAAUGGACGGAAGUCUGACCGAGCAACGCCGCGUGAGUGCAGAAGGUUCUCGGAUCGUAAAGCUCUGUUGUAAGAGACGAACGAGUGUGAGAGUGGAAAGUUCACACUGUGACGGUAUCUUACCAGAAAGGGACGGCUAACUACGUG
This 495-nucleotide ribosomal RNA is filed under the name uncultured bacterium. RNAcentral describes it as "partial 16S ribosomal RNA". It matches the Rfam family "Bacterial small subunit ribosomal RNA", at positions 28 to 507 of the family's 1533-position model. The record is from RNAcentral.